GAUGAACGCUGGCGGCGUGCCUAAUACAUGCAAGUCGAGCGAACAGACGGUGAGCUUGCUCCUCUGACGUUAGCGGCGGACGGGUGAGUAACACGUGGAUAACCUACCUAUAAGACUGGGAUAACUUCGGGAAACCGGAGCUAAUACCGGAUAAUAUAUUGAACCGCAUGGUUCAAUAGUGAAAGACGGUUUUGCUGUCACUUAUAGAUGGAUCCGCGCCGCAUUAGCUAGUUGGUAAGGUAACGGCUUACCAAGGCAACGAUGCGUAGCCGACCUGAGAGGGUGAUCGGCCACACUGGAACUGAGACACGGUCCAGACUCCUACGGGAGGCAGCAGUAGGGAAUAUUCCGCAAUGGGCGAAAGCCUGACGGAGCAACGCCGCGUGAGUGAUGAAGGUCUUCGGAUCGUAAAACUCUGUUAUUAGGGAAGAACAACUGUGUAAGUAACUCUGCACGUCUUGACGGUACCUAAUCAGAAAGCCACGGCUAACUACGUG
Molecule: ribosomal RNA, 497 nt
Filed under: uncultured bacterium
Lineage: Bacteria
Description: partial 16S ribosomal RNA
Rfam family: Bacterial small subunit ribosomal RNA
Source: RNAcentral